AAUUGGGGUUCUUUGAUAUGCCGAAUCUAACUGUGUAUGUAGAUUCUUAAUUUUUGGUCCCGUUUUCAAAUUGGUCUACAUUAAGGUCCAAAGGGUCCAAAAUUAAACUUAGUUUGAUUUUAACAAAAAUUGAAUCCGUGGGGUUCUUUGAUAUGCUGAAUCUAAAAAUGUACUUAGAUUUUUUAUUAUUGGCCCAGUUUUCAAGUUGGUCCAAAUCGGGGUCCAAAAUUAAACUUUGUUUGAUUUCAUCAAAAAUUGAAUAAUUUGGGUUCUUUGAUAUGCUGAAUCUAAAAAUGUACUUAGAUUUUUUAUUAUUGGCCCAGUUUUCAAGUUGGUCCAAAUCGGGGUCCAAAAUUAAACU
RNAcentral lists this long non-coding RNA (361 nucleotides) under Mytilus galloprovincialis (Mediterranean mussel). Lineage: Eukaryota; Metazoa; Mollusca; Bivalvia; Mytilida; Mytilidae. The record is from RNAcentral.